CCACGGUAAAUACGAAUGGUUUAAUUCGAUGCAACGCGAAGAACCUUACCACUUCUUGACAUGGAGAUUAGAUCCUUCUUAACAGAAGGGCGCAGUUCGGCUGGAUCUCGCACAGGUGCUGCAUGGCUGUCGUCAGCUCGUGUCGUGAGAUGUUGGGUUAAGUCCCGCAACGAGCGYAACCCUCAUCCUUAGUUGCCAGCGGGUUAAGCCGGGCACUUUAAGGAGACUGCCAGUGGUAAACUGGAGGAAGGUGGGGAUGAUGUCAAGUCAGCACGGCCCUUAUGGGGUGGGCUACACACGUGCUACAAUGGUGACUACAAUAGGUUGCAAUGUCGCAAGGCUGAGCUAAUCCGUAAAAGUCAUCUCAGUUCGGAUUGUCCUCUGCAACUCGAGGGCAUGAAGUCGGAAUCGCUAGUAAUCGUGGAUCAGCAUGCCACGGUGAAUACGAAU
Molecule: ribosomal RNA, 450 nt
Filed under: uncultured Anaplasma sp.
Lineage: Bacteria; Pseudomonadati; Pseudomonadota; Alphaproteobacteria; Rickettsiales; Anaplasmataceae
Description: bacterial SSU rRNA
Source: RNAcentral